This 272-nucleotide ribosomal RNA is filed under the name uncultured bacterium. RNAcentral's name for it is "partial 16S ribosomal RNA". It matches the Rfam family "Bacterial small subunit ribosomal RNA", at positions 511 to 780 of the family's 1533-position model. The record is from RNAcentral.
GCAGCGCCGGUAUUAAGGAGGAUGCGAGAAUUAUUUUAAGGUAUAGUGGGUAAAAAGGGUGCAGUGGGUUGUUUAACAAACAUGGGAAAAACCGGGUUUCAUCACGGGAAAUACACUUUUAAAAGUCAAAAUCUUGAGUGCAGGAGAGGUAAGCAGAAUUAGUUGUGUAGCGGAGAAAUGUGUAGAUAUUAGGAAGAACACCAGUGGAGAAGGCGGCUUUGUGGACUGUAACUACAUCUGAUGCAAGAAAGUGUGGGGGGCGCCGGGGAUUA